Molecule: transfer RNA, 66 nt
Filed under: Oceanobacillus polygoni
Lineage: Bacteria; Bacillati; Bacillota; Bacilli; Caryophanales; Bacillaceae
Description: tRNA-Ala
Source: RNAcentral
CAUCCAGUUCGGGAGAGUGCUUGCAUGGCAUGCAAGAGGUCAGGGGUUCGAGCCCCCUAUGCUCCA